Molecule: ribosomal RNA, 492 nt
Filed under: uncultured bacterium
Lineage: Bacteria
Description: partial 16S ribosomal RNA
Rfam family: Bacterial small subunit ribosomal RNA
Source: RNAcentral
AGUGAACGCUGGCGGUAGGCCUAACACAUGCAAGUCGAACGGCAGCACAGUAAGAGCUUGCUCUUACGGGUGGCGAGUGGCGGACGGGUGAGGAAUACAUCGGAAUCUACUUUUUCGUGGGGGAUAACGUAGGGAAACUUACGCUAAUACCGCAUACGACCUACGGGUGAAAGCAGGGGAUCUUCGGACCUUGCGCGAUUGAAUGAGCCGAUGUCGGAUUAGCUAGUUGGCGGGGUAAAGGCCCGCCAAGGCGACGAUCCGUAGCUGGUCUGAGAGGAUGAUCAGCCACACUAGAACUGAGACACGGUCCAGACUCCUACGGGAGGCAGCAGUGGGGAAUAUUGGACAAUGGGCGCAAGCCUGAUCCAGCCAUACCGCGUGGGUGAAGAAGGCCUUCGGGUUGUAAAGCCCUUUUGUUGGGAAAGAAAAGCAGCAGGUUAAUACCCCGCUGUUCUGACGGUACCCAAAGAAUAAGCACCGGCUAACUUCGUG